UGGCUCAGUGGUAGAGUGCUUGCCUUGCAUGCAUGAGGCCCUGGGUUCGAUUCCCCAG
Non-coding RNA from Dipodomys ordii (Ord's kangaroo rat), 58 nucleotides. NCBI's taxonomy places the organism in Eukaryota, Metazoa, Chordata, Mammalia, Rodentia, Heteromyidae. The record is from Rfam.